UACGUAGGGUGCGAGCGUUAAUCGGAAUUACUGGGCGUAAAGCGUGCGCAGGCGGUCUGUUAAGACCGAUGUGAAAUCCCCGGGCUUAACCUGGGAACUGCAUUGGUGACUGGCAGGCUUUGAGUGUGGCAGAGGGAGGUAGAAUUCCACGUGUAGCAGUGAAAUGCGUAGAGAUGUGGAGGAAUACCGAUGGCGAAGGCAGCCUCCUGGGCCAAAACUGACGCUCAUGCACGAAAGCGUGGGGAGCAAACAGG
RNAcentral lists this ribosomal RNA (254 nucleotides) under uncultured bacterium. Its description in RNAcentral is "partial 16S ribosomal RNA". It matches the Rfam family "Bacterial small subunit ribosomal RNA", at positions 524 to 776 of the family's 1533-position model. The record is from RNAcentral.